This is a long non-coding RNA of Girardinichthys multiradiatus, 506 nucleotides long. RefSeq lists it as uncharacterized. NCBI's taxonomy places the organism in Eukaryota, Metazoa, Chordata, Actinopteri, Cyprinodontiformes, Goodeidae. The record is from RefSeq and is a predicted model, not a curated record. The transcript is spliced from 3 exons.
GGUGGCUCUGGGUUCAUGAGGAGUGGUGGCAAGUGUCCCAUAUUCCCUAAUCAUCCCUGGAGGGUACUUAAGAUGGAGGCUGCCAGCAGUUCAGCGCCAGAGUGUUGCCCAUAGUGACUGGAUUCCUAUGCCUGACCUUGUCUUUGAAGAAUCCUCAUCAACUUGAAUGUUUUUGUCACUGGAGAACGAUUUCCUAGCCACGUGGAUUAUACCUGGAUUGCCAACACUUUGCUUCCUAAGUUAUUGGCUGGCGGCUAUUCCGACGGUGCCUUUCCUGGAACAACUACGGACCUCCACAACCGAACCCUGUCCACCCUUCCACACAAUAACAUCAUCAGCCGAACCUCAGCAUACCUCAAAGUGAGUCCAAGUACCUACCAGCUCCAUUCAUCUCAGUGUGCAGUUCCAUUGUUGUCUCACCCCCCUCCUGGCAGAUCAAACUCCACUCCCUAUUGUCUUCCGGUUCCAGCUCCACUUCCCUUCACCUGCUCACUGUAAAAUAAAAC